RNAcentral lists this ribosomal RNA (254 nucleotides) under uncultured bacterium. Its description in RNAcentral is "partial 16S ribosomal RNA". It matches the Rfam family "Bacterial small subunit ribosomal RNA", at positions 524 to 776 of the family's 1533-position model. The record is from RNAcentral.
UACGUAGGGUGCGAGCGUUGUCCGGAAUUAUUGGGCGUAAAGAGCUCGUAGGCGGUGUGUCACGUCGGCCGUGAAAACCUGCAGCUUAACUGUGGGCGUGCGGUCGAUACGGGCAUCUCUGGAGUUCGGCAGGGGAGACUGGAAUUCCUGGUGUAGCGGUGAAAUGCGCAGAUAUCAGGAGGAACACCGGUGGCGAAGGCGGGUCUCUGGGCCGAUACUGACGCUGAGGAGCGAAAGCGUGGGGAGCAAACAGG